AUCCCUUCUCCUGGUGCUUUCUGUAGGAAAGCUUGGCCAGCGUAUCCAAGCACAACCUGCCUAGCCACUGGGUGCAAUUUCUGGGAGACCCAGAGAAAGCUCUGCCUUCAUUACCAGAAACAGAGCAACAGCAAUAUGGGGCUCAAGCCCAGCACAGACUUCAACACUGAGGGGAGAAGGCAUCAACUUUUCCAUGUUGAAGGAACUCAACGAAACUCCCUGGCAAGGAGAGGAUUUCCCACCUGUGAUCUCAUUGAAAAAAAUCUGAAAAUUCCCUUUUGUUAUGUCUAUCAUGUGCAAUAAUGGCGGAGGCAGAAAAGAGAGUUGCUGUAAGGUCUGCUUUUUCUUGUCUGUGGUGAAAGUGGAUCUGUGUUGUAGUUUAAGUUUACCCUCCUGAAGGGCUUCAAAUGGAGGACCUCCCUCCAAACUGCUGGCUAGCAUGGCAGUCUGGAUUGAUCUUAGGCACAGAAGAGUAUGAAAAAACACUUAAAUUCUUCAUUGCUGAUCAAUUUUUAUCAGUAACAGAAAUACAGACAGCCCAAGGACAGCAAAUGGCACUUC
Molecule: long non-coding RNA, 561 nt
Organism: Lagopus muta (rock ptarmigan)
Lineage: Eukaryota; Metazoa; Chordata; Aves; Galliformes; Phasianidae
Exons: 4
Source: RefSeq, a predicted model, not a curated record